This is a small nuclear RNA of Equus asinus (donkey), 107 nucleotides long. The record is from Ensembl. Lineage: Eukaryota; Metazoa; Chordata; Mammalia; Perissodactyla; Equidae.
CUACUCACUUUGGCAACAGAUAUUCUCAAAUUGGAACCAUGUAUGGAUGUUUAGCACGGCCCCUGCACACAGAUAAUGCAUCAAUUGGUGAAGCAUUUCAUAUUGUU